GAAAUGCGAUAAGUAAUGUGAAUUGCAGAAUUCAGUGAACCAUCGAAUCUUUGAACGCACAUUGCGCCCGCCAGCACUCUGGCGGGCAUGCCUGUCCGAGCGUCAUUUCAACCCUCGAGCCCCCCAGGGGGCCCGGUGUUGGGGGGCGCGGCCCGCCACAGGGCCGCCCCCCCCUAAAUGCAGUGGCGACCACCGCCGCGGCCUCCCCUGCGAAGUAGCACAGCGACGCACUGGAGCGCGGUGGCGGCCACGCCGUAAAACCCCCGAGAACCCCCCCCGUGGAGUUGACCUCGGAUCAGGUAGGAUUACCCGCUGAACUUAA
RNAcentral lists this unclassified non-coding RNA (322 nucleotides) under uncultured Hypocreales. RNAcentral's name for it is "sequence contains ITS1". The stretch from base 1 to 105 matches the Rfam family "5.8S ribosomal RNA", at positions 50 to 154 of the family's 154-position model. The record is from RNAcentral. Lineage: Eukaryota; Fungi; Ascomycota; Sordariomycetes; Hypocreales.